GGUGAACGCUAGCUACAGGCUUAACACAUGCAAGUCGAGGGGUAACAAGAGAAAAGCUUGCUUUUCUUGUUGACGACCGGCGCACGGGUGAGUAACGCGUAUCCAACCUGCCUAUAACUAGGGAAUAACCUUGCGAAAGUAAGACUAAUACCCUAUGAUUUCCUUUGAUGACAUCAGAUUAGGAAUAAAGAUUUAUCGGUUAUAGAUGGGGAUGCGUCUGAUUAGCUUGUUGGCGGGGUAACGGCCCACCAAGGCAACGAUCAGUAGGGGUUCUGAGAGGAAGGUCCCCCACAUUGGAACUGAGACACGGUCCAAACUCCUACGGGAGGCAGCAGUGAGGAAUAUUGGUCAAUGGGCGGAAGCCUGAACCAGCCAAGUAGCGUGCAGGAUGACGGCCCUAUGAGUUGUAAACUGCUUUUAUACAGGAAUAAAGUUAGCCACGUGUGGUUAUUUGUAGGUACUGUAUGAAUAAGGACCGGCUAAUUCCGUGCCAGCAGCCGCGGUAA
This 506-nucleotide ribosomal RNA is filed under the name uncultured bacterium. RNAcentral describes it as "partial 16S ribosomal RNA". It matches the Rfam family "Bacterial small subunit ribosomal RNA", at positions 28 to 523 of the family's 1533-position model. The record is from RNAcentral.